This 507-nucleotide ribosomal RNA is filed under the name uncultured bacterium. RNAcentral's name for it is "bacterial SSU rRNA". It matches the Rfam family "Bacterial small subunit ribosomal RNA", at positions 28 to 526 of the family's 1533-position model. The record is from RNAcentral.
GAUGAACGCUAGCGGCAGGCCUAACACAUGCAAGUCGAGGGGCAUCACGGAAAAGCUUGCUUUUCUGGUGGCGACCGGCGCACGGGUGCGGAACGCGUAUGGAACCUGCCCCUGUCAGGGGAAUAGCCCAGGGAAACUUGGAUUAAUGCCCCAUGGUACCGUUAUAUCGCAUGAUAUUACGGUUAAAGAUUUAUCGGACAGGGAUGGCCAUGCGUACCAUUAGUUAGUUGGUGAGGUAACGGCUCACCAAGGCAGCGAUGGUUAGGGGCCCUGAGAGGGGGAUCCCCCACACUGGUACUGAGACACGGACCAGACUCCUACGGGAGGCAGCAGUGAGGAAUAUUGGACAAUGGGCGGGAGCCUGAUCCAGCCAUGCCGCGUGCAGGAUGACGGCCCUAUGGGUUGUAAACUGCUUUUAUACGGGAAGAAACGCGCCCACGUGUGGGCGUUUGACGGUACCGUAAGAAUAAGGACCGGCUAACUCCGUGCCAGCCGCCGCCGUAACAC